This 2915-nucleotide ribosomal RNA is filed under the name Klebsiella pneumoniae. Its description in RNAcentral is "23S ribosomal RNA". It matches the Rfam family "Bacterial large subunit ribosomal RNA". Lineage: Bacteria; Pseudomonadati; Pseudomonadota; Gammaproteobacteria; Enterobacterales; Enterobacteriaceae. The record is from RNAcentral.
GGGUUGUGAGGUUAAGCGACUAAGCGUACACGGUGGAUGCCCUGGCAGUCAGAGGCGAUGAAGGACGUGCUAAUCUGCGAAAAGCGUCGGUAAGGUGAUAUGAACCGUUAUAACCGGCGAUGUCCGAAUGGGGAAACCCAGUGCAAUUCGUUGCACUAUCGUUAACUGAAUACAUAGGUUAACGAGGCGAACCGGGGGAACUGAAACAUCUAAGUACCCCGAGGAAAAGAAAUCAACCGAGAUUCCCCCAGUAGCGGCGAGCGAACGGGGAGCAGCCCAGAGUCUGAAUCAGCUUGUGUGUUAGUGGAACGGUCUGGAAAGUCCGACGGUACAGGGUGAUAGUCCCGUACACCAAAAUGCACAGGCUGUGAACUCGAAGAGUAGGGCGGGACACGUGGUAUCCUGUCUGAAUAUGGGGGGACCAUCCUCCAAGGCUAAAUACUCCUGACUGACCGAUAGUGAACCAGUACCGUGAGGGAAAGGCGAAAAGAACCCCGGCGAGGGGUGAAAAGAACCUGAAACCGUGUACGUACAAGCAGUGGGAGCACCUUCGGGUGUGACUGCGUACCUUUGUAUAAUGGGUCAGCGACUUAUAUUCUGUAGCAAGGUUAACCGUAUAGGGAGCCGCAGGGAAACCGAGUCUUAACUGGGCGUUAAGUUGCAGGGUAUAGACCCGAAACCCGGUGAUCUAGCCAUGGGCAGGUUGAAGGUUGGGUAACACUAACUGGAGGACCGAACCGACUAAUGUUGAAAAAUUAGCGGAUGACUUGUGGCUGGGGGUGAAAGGCCAAUCAAACCGGGAGAUAGCUGGUUCUCCCCGAAAGCUAUUUAGGUAGCGCCUCGUGAACUCAUCUUCGGGGGUAGAGCACUGUUUCGGCUAGGGGGUCAUCCCGACUUACCAACCCGAUGCAAACUACGAAUACCGAAGAAUGUUAUCACGGGAGACACACGGCGGGUGCUAACGUCCGUCGUGAAGAGGAAACAACCCAGACCGCCAGCUAAGGUCCCAAAGUCAUGGUUAAGUGGGAAACGAUGUGGGAAGGCACAGACAGCGGAUGUUGGCUUAGAAGCAGCCAUCAUUUAAAGAAAGCGUAAUAGCUCACUGGUCGAGUCGGCCUGCGCGGAAGAUGUAACGGGGCUAAACCAUGCACCGAAGCUGCGGCAGCGACACUAUGUGUUGUUGGGUAGGGGAGCGUUCUGUAAGCCUGCGAAGGUGUGCUGUGAGGCAUGCUGGAGGUAUCAGAAGUGCGAAUGCUGACAUAAGUAACGAUAAAGCGGGUGAAAAGCCCGCUCGCCGGAAGACCAAGGGUUCCUGUCCAACGUUAAUCGGGGCAGGGUGAGUCGACCCCUAAGGCGAGGCCGAAAGGCGUAGUCGAUGGGAAACAGGUUAAUAUUCCUGUACUUGGUGUUACUGCGAAGGGGGGACGGAGAAGGCUAUGUUAGCCGGGCGACGGUUGUCCCGGUUUAAGCAUGUAGGCUGAUUGUCCAGGCAAAUCCGGAUAAUCAAGGCUGAGGUGUGAUGACGAGGCACUACGGUGCUGAAGUAACAAAUGCCCUGCUUCCAGGAAAAGCCUCUAAGCAUCAGGUAACAUCAAAUCGUACCCCAAACCGACACAGGUGGUCAGGUAGAGAAUACCAAGGCGCUUGAGAGAACUCGGGUGAAGGAACUAGGCAAAAUGGUGCCGUAACUUCGGGAGAAGGCACGCUGGUGUGUAGGUGAAGUCCCUGCGGAUGGAGCUGAGACCAGUCGAAGAUACCAGCUGGCUGCAACUGUUUAUUAAAAACACAGCACUGUGCAAACACGAAAGUGGACGUAUACGGUGUGACGCCUGCCCGGUGCCGGAAGGUUAAUUGAUGGGGUUAUCCGUAAGGAGAAGCUCUUGAUCGAAGCCCCGGUAAACGGCGGCCGUAACUAUAACGGUCCUAAGGUAGCGAAAUUCCUUGUCGGGUAAGUUCCGACCUGCACGAAUGGCGUAAUGAUGGCGGGCUGUCUCCACCCGAGACUCAGUGAAAUUGAACUCGCUGUGAAGAUGCAGUGUACCCGCGGCAAGACGGAAAGACCCCGUGAACCUUUACUAUAGCUUGACACUGAACAUUGAGCCUUGAUGUGUAGGAUAGGUGGGAGGCUUUGAAGCGUGGACGCCAGUCUGCGUGGAGCCAACCUUGAAAUACCACCCUUUAAUGUUUGAUGUUCUAACGUUGGCCCCUGACCGGGGUUGCGGACAGUGUCUGGUGGGUAGUUUGACUGGGGCGGUCUCCUCCCAAAGCGUAACGGAGGAGCACGAAGGUUAGCUAAUCCUGGUCGGACAUCAGGAGGUUAGUGCAAUGGCAUAAGCUAGCUUGACUGCGAGCGUGACGGCGCGAGCAGGUGCGAAAGCAGGUCAUAGUGAUCCGGUGGUUCUGAAUGGAAGGGCCAUCGCUCAACGGAUAAAAGGUACUCCGGGGAUAACAGGCUGAUACCGCCCAAGAGUUCAUAUCGACGGCGGUGUUUGGCACCUCGAUGUCGGCUCAUCACAUCCACGGGGCUGAAGUAGGUCCCAAGGGUAUGGCUGUUCGCCAUUUAAAGUGGUACGCGAGCUGGGUUUAGAACGUCGUGAGACAGUUCGGUCCCUAUCUGCCGUGGGCGCUGGAGAAUUGAGGGGGGCUGCUCCUAGUACGAGAGGACCGGAGUGGACGCAUCACUGGUGUUCGGGUUGUCAUGCCAAUGGCACUGCCCGGUAGCUAAAUGCGGAAGAGAUAAGUGCUGAAAGCAUCUAAGCACGAAACUUGCCCCGAGAUGAGUUCUCCCUGAGACUUUAAGUCUCCUGAAGGAACGUUAAAGACGAUGACGUUGAUAGGCCGGGUGUGUAAGCGCAGCGAUGCGUUGAGCUAACCGGUACUAAUGAACCGUGAGGCUUAACCUUACAACGCCGAAG